CGAAUCUCGAAAGCCUGUCUCAGUUCGGAUUGGAGGCUGAAACCCGCCUCCAUGAAGUUGGAUCCGCUAGUAAUCGCGCAUCAGCCAUGGCGCGGUGAAUACGUUCCCGGGCCUUGUACACACCGCCCGUCAAGCCAUGGGAGCCGGGGGUGCCUGAAGUUCGUGACCGCAAGGAGCGACCUAGGGCAAAACUGGUGACUGGGGCUAAGUCGUAACAAGGUAGC
RNAcentral lists this ribosomal RNA (224 nucleotides) under uncultured bacterium. Its description in RNAcentral is "partial 16S ribosomal RNA". It matches the Rfam family "Bacterial small subunit ribosomal RNA", at positions 1268 to 1500 of the family's 1533-position model. The record is from RNAcentral.